UCGACGCGGAGGCGUGCCCCACGUGGCGUC
This 30-nucleotide small RNA is filed under the name Bombyx mori (domestic silkworm). RNAcentral's name for it is "ovarian small RNA-28313". The record is from RNAcentral. Lineage: Eukaryota; Metazoa; Arthropoda; Insecta; Lepidoptera; Bombycidae.